This is a non-coding RNA of Phoenix dactylifera (date palm), 2382 nucleotides long. The record is from RefSeq and is a predicted model, not a curated record. Lineage: Eukaryota; Viridiplantae; Streptophyta; Magnoliopsida; Arecales; Arecaceae.
ACAAGCCGCUCAGGACAGACAGAAACGAUGGGCUGACAAAGGCAGGAGAGAAUUGGAAUUUUUGGAGGGGAACUUUGUCUUCCUAAAAAUUUCUCCGUCAAGGGGUGUUACCCGAUUUGGGCGGCACGGUAAACUGAGUCCCCGCUACAUCGGCCCAUUCGAGGUUCUCGCUAAAGUGGGCAAGGUCGCCUACAAGCUGGCCCUACCUCCAGAGUUAUCAGGAGUACACGACGUCUUUCACGUCUCCCUCCUACGCAGGUACAUCCCAGAUCCCAGCCAUGUAUUACAGUAUGAACCCUUGCAGAUAAAUGAAGACCUGACCUAUGAGGAAGCUCCUCUGCGCAUCGUCGAUAAGAAGGAGCAAAUUCUUCGGAGGCGUACCAUCCCUUAUGUCAAAGUUCAGUGGGCCAACCACACUGAACGGGAAGCCACGUGGGAACUUGAAGAGGAGAUGCGCCAAAGUUACCCCCAGCUCUUCGAAGAUAGAGGUAUGUAUAAUUUCGCGGACGAAAUUUAUUUUAAGGGGGGUAGGAUGUAAUGUCCGGGCCCACAACCUACUAGGCCCAAUAAGAAAUAGGCCCAGUUAAGGGUUUGGGCCCAAAUUUCACUGUGGGCAGUAUUAUUAUAAUAGUUAUUAUAAUGGUUAAAAAAAAAUGAAGGGAUAAGACCGACAGGGAAGGGUUACCUCACCCCCUGCUGGCAGCCGAUGCCGGCGUGCCGGAGACAGGGGGGCGGUGGCCAGUCCCGGAGCAGGGAGGAAUGGAGAGGAUGGGACCUCUCAGAGGGGGGGUCUCAUCCUCUAAACAAAUUAUUUAAGCCUCUGCCGACAACCCCAAGUGACAGACCCCCUAGAAUACUGAACGAGAGAGUGAGAGAGCCGAAGCCUUGGAGCCGAAGGCAAAGGAGCCCUGAAGCUCCAAGAGGAAGGAGGGACUACCAGGGGGAGGUACUGCCCGACUGCAACCGGCCAAGGUAAGGAGCAUUAGGGUAAGGGUUUAACAGGGGUAAAGAAAUUCCACUGUGGGGUGCUCUUCCCCUCUGUGUCAACAGUGAAACAGAGGGGAGGAAACCGACACAGGGGAGGGGAAAAAGGCCUACAGUCCACUGGUCAGGCCGGACUCAAAGGUCGUGCGCCCGACGACCACCCGGGCCAAACCCAACCGGGCUCGGCCUGCGGAUGAACCGGACACCGCGGCCUCGGCCGCCGGUACCCUGGAGUUCGGGGGGCAACCCGGGCCGCCAGAUCUGGCCGGGACGACAACAGAGGCGGCCACAGGGCCGCCAGCCCUGGCCGGACCACCACCUCUUCUCCGGCAAGGGGUGGUGGUUCCGGAGGGAAGGACCGAAAAAAAAAAAAAAAAGGAAAAUGAACUCACCGGAUCUUGAGGCUUCAUCCCCUCCGGCCAUACCUGGCCGUGGACGGAGCGGGUGGAGGCCCUCGGUUAAAGCCGAAUUCCGACCCAUCUCCGAACCCUUCCCCUCUCCGGCAUCACUUCGGAGGGAGGAAGGGCUUCCCUUCCGCCGGUGCACCGGGGGGAAACCCCCACGUCGAUCGGUGGAUCGGGGGGAGCCUCGCCUCCCCGGCCGCCUGCAAGAGAAGAAAAGGGAAAAGGAGAGAGGGAAAGAAGGAAGAAAGACCGAGGCCGGAGGGAGCCGAGGGCUCGACCGGAGAGUAGGGUCUCGGCAGGGUCAACAAAGAAAGAAAGAAAGAGGGAGAGAGAGAGAGGGAAAGAGAGGGAGUGACCGAGAGGGGGAAGGCCACAGAUCUGGCCGGAGGAGAAGAAGGGGAGCCGGAGGAGAGGGCCGGAAGCAUGGGCUUCGGUGGGAGGUUGAAGGAGAGAACGAGAGAGAGAGGAGGAAACGGAGGAGAGAGGGGAGGAAGGUAGGUGAAGAGGCGGAAGCCUCUAGAAGGGGGGAGAAAGAAAAUAUGGUAACGGGUUUGCGGGUCGGAUCUGAACCCGCAACCCGUUAAGCUUAAAUAAAUAUAUAUAUAUAUGUAUAUAUGUGUGUAUAUAUAUAUAUAAUUAGAAUGGGUUAGGUGAACCCAAUAAAACCAGACCCAGUCUAUUUGGAUGAACCCGGAUGAGGGAUGGGCUAAAUUUCAGGUAGAAAAGGAAAUAACAUAUUAUUAUUAUGACAUGAUUGUAGGUGACUUAGGACUCGUCACCAGGACGCGGGAGACCUAGGAAAAAGGCAAAUUACUAUCACCACCAGUGACAGCUGCCAGAAGCAUUUUUCUUUUGCAACAGGGCUUCUUUAUUUUUGGGGAUGAUAUAAAUAAACUUUUGUGUAUAUAAACUAUGUAGAAGCUCUGUACUUUAUAUGAACCAGUGGGUUGUAAUACCUUCUUUUGAUAUAUACAAGUUACACUGCUUUUGACUA